GCACCAAGAAAAUGGGCGCAUCUUGCCAAGCACUUUCUUGAGGCACGGAGAGGUUUUACAUGACUAGACCAUUCCAAUCGCCAGGCCAUAAGAGCCCUGAUUAUCAACAGAAUCCUAGAAGACCACACCCCAAGUGUCCCCUUUCCGGCCCCUGAUCAUGCUGAACACACACUGCCCCCGCCCAUGACCUCGGGCUCCCUGCCUGUUCUGCACGUGCCCCACCUCUCCAAACCUCUCUAUAAAACCCUGGGUGCCCGUCUUACGGGUGGAGGCCUGAGCCCGCCAGCUGCUGCUGGCACUUGAGAUAAACGUCUGGAGUUA
Mustela lutreola (European mink) is the source of this 321-nucleotide long non-coding RNA. RefSeq lists it as uncharacterized. NCBI's taxonomy places the organism in Eukaryota, Metazoa, Chordata, Mammalia, Carnivora, Mustelidae. The record is from RefSeq and is a predicted model, not a curated record. The transcript is spliced from 2 exons.